RNAcentral lists this transfer RNA (71 nucleotides) under Ophiocten ludwigi. Its description in RNAcentral is "tRNA-Asp". The record is from RNAcentral. Lineage: Eukaryota; Metazoa; Echinodermata; Ophiuroidea; Amphilepidida; Ophiuridae.
AGGGUCUUAGUUAAUAAUAAUAUUGGUCUGUCAGUCCACAAGUUGCGGAAAGUCUAUGUCCGCAGUCCCUU